GGACUACAGGGGUUUCUAAUCCUGUUUGCUCCCCACGCUUUCGCACAUGAGCGUCAGUAUUGGUCCAGGAGGUCGCUUUCGCCACUGAUGUUCCUUCAGAUAUCUACGCAUUUCACCGCUACACCUGAAAUUCCACCUCCCUCUCCCAUACUCUAGCAAUGCAGUCUCGAAUGCAGUUCCCAGGUUGAGCCCGGGGAUUUCACACUCGACUUGCAAAGCCGCCUACGCGCGCUUUACGCCCAGUAAUUCCGAUUAACGCUCGCACCCUCUGUAUUACCGCGGCUGCUGGCAC
Molecule: ribosomal RNA, 292 nt
Filed under: uncultured bacterium
Lineage: Bacteria
Description: partial 16S ribosomal RNA
Source: RNAcentral